RNAcentral lists this ribosomal RNA (521 nucleotides) under uncultured bacterium. RNAcentral's name for it is "bacterial SSU rRNA". It matches the Rfam family "Bacterial small subunit ribosomal RNA", at positions 12 to 526 of the family's 1533-position model. The record is from RNAcentral.
UUUGAUCAUGGCUCAGGAUGAACGCUAGCGGCAGGCUUCAUACAUGCAAGUCGAGGGGCAGCAUAGAUUACUUGUAAUUUGAUGGCGACCGGCGAACGGGUGCGUAACGCGUAUGCAACUUACCUUUUACUAGAGAAUAGCCAAGAGAAAUUUUGAUUAAUGCUCUAUAUUCUUAUUUACUCGCAUGAGUAAAUAAGCAAAGCUCCGGCGGUAAAAGAUGGGCAUGCGUCCUAUUAGCUUGUAGGUGAGGUAAUGGCUCACCUAAGCUCCGAUAGGUAGGGGUCCUGAGAGGGAGAUCCCCCACACUGGUACUGAGACACGGACCAAACUUCUACGGAAGGCAGCAGUAAGGAAUAUUGGACAAUGGAGGCAACUCUGAUCCAGCCAUGCCGCGUGAAGGAAGACGGCCUUAUGGGUUGUAAACUUCUUUUAUACAUGAAGAAACCUUUCCACGUGUGGAAAGCUGACGGUACUGUAAGAAUAAGGAUCGGCUAACUCCGUGCCAGCAGCCGCGGUAAUAC